This 774-nucleotide ribosomal RNA is filed under the name uncultured Neocallimastigales. Its description in RNAcentral is "partial large subunit ribosomal RNA". It matches the Rfam family "Eukaryotic large subunit ribosomal RNA", at positions 22 to 647 of the family's 3401-position model. The record is from RNAcentral. Lineage: Eukaryota; Fungi; Neocallimastigomycota; Neocallimastigomycetes; Neocallimastigales.
CUAUACAUGACUCUGCGCAUAUCAAUAAGCGGAGGAAAAGAAACUAACAAGGAUUCCCCUAGUAACGGCGAGUGAAGCGGGAAGAGCUCAAAUUUGAAAUCUUAAAGGGUUUCCCUUUACGAAUUGUAGUUUAAAGAAGUGUUUUCUGUUGAGGUUUUGGUAAAAGUUCUUUGGAAUAGGACAUCAUAGAGGGUGAGAAUCCCGUAUUUGACCUUUACUUUCAACUUUGUGAUACACUUUCAAAGAGUCGGAUUGUUUGGGAAUGCAGUCCAAAAUGGGUGGUAAAUUUCAUCUAAAGCUAAAUAUUGGCGAGAGACCGAUAGCGAACAAGUACCGUGAGGGAAAGAUGAAAAGAACUUUGAAAAGAGAGUUAAACAGUACGUGAAAUUGUCAAAAGGGAAGCGUUUGUACACCAGUGUUGUUUUUCUGAAAAUCAAUUAAAGAACUGUUUAUGCUAAGUUGUUUAGACUUUAUCAGCUAACUGUUUAGUUUUGAGCUUUUCUUUAAUGCACUUUUCAGUUAACAAGUCAACAUCAAUUUCUUUUGCUGUAAAAAAGCUUGAGGAAGGUGGCUUGAGAUUCGUCUUAAGUGUUUAUAGCCUCUUGCCUAUGCAGUCGGAGAGAUUGAGGUCUGCAGCGUAGAUCCUUCGGGGCUAAAUGCAUUUGUGCUAAGUUAUAGCAUUUUAUAGACAACUUGUUGACUAUGAUUUGUCUUGUAGCUUACUCGCUUAUGUUAUUUUACCUACGCUUAGGAUGUUGACAGCAGUAUAGACUG